UUGCGCCCCAAGCCGUUAGGUCGAGGGCACGUCUGCCUGGGUGUCA
This 46-nucleotide ribosomal RNA is filed under the name Dictamnus dasycarpus. RNAcentral's name for it is "partial 5.8S ribosomal RNA". Lineage: Eukaryota; Viridiplantae; Streptophyta; Magnoliopsida; Sapindales; Rutaceae. The record is from RNAcentral.